Molecule: ribosomal RNA, 475 nt
Filed under: uncultured organism
Description: partial 16S ribosomal RNA
Rfam family: Bacterial small subunit ribosomal RNA
Source: RNAcentral
ACACUCCUACGGGAGGCAGCAGUGGGGAAUUUUGGACAAUGGGGGCAACCCUGAUCCAGCAAUGCCGCGUGAGUGAAGAAGGCCUUCGGGUUGUAAAGCUCUUUUGUCAGGGAAGAAACGGUGGUGGCGAAUAACUACUACUAAUGACGGUACCUGAAGAAUAAGCACCGGCUAACUACGUGCCAGCAGCCGCGGUAAUACGUAGGGUGCAAGCGUUAAUCGGAAUUACUGGGCGUAAAGCGUGCGCAGGCGGUUGUGUAAGUCAGAUGUGAAAUCCCCGGGCUCAACCUGGGAAUUGCAUUUGAGACUGCACGGCUAGAGUGUGUCAGAGGGGGGUAGAAUUCCACGUGUAGCAGUGAAAUGCGUAGAUAUGUGGAGGAAUACCGAUGGCGAAGGCAGCCCCCUGGGAUAACACUGACGCUCAUGCACGAAAGCGUGGGGAGCAAACAGGAUUAGAAACCCCUGUAGUCCCAUG